RNAcentral lists this microRNA (24 nucleotides) under Prunus persica (peach). RNAcentral's name for it is "microRNA miRNA_436". The record is from RNAcentral. Lineage: Eukaryota; Viridiplantae; Streptophyta; Magnoliopsida; Rosales; Rosaceae.
ACACUGUGGCUCGUUGUGUUGUCA